GGUGAAUCUGGGUCUCCAUAUCAGUUUCAACAUACAUCCUAGGGUACGGCAUAGAAGGUGCAACUGGUCUUCCAUUCCCAGCCACACGUCCCCCUCUAGGGAUUCGGCUUUGAUGUGAUGGGGGAAGAUCAUCAUCAGUUCCACUGCUAUCAUAAGGCGGGCUCGUAGUCCAUAGCCAGCUUGACGCCCAAAAUAGUACACCUUUAGCUCAAGAAACGAACCACCAAGAACCCUAAAAUUUAGAAGCCAAUCUUGAAUCUAUCACCCAAAUAAUGUUGAAAAGAAAGGAGUUUUGGAAGCUCUAAAUAAUCAGCUGAACCAAAAUACGUUGUCGUUUCCGCUCACCUCGUCACGAAUCGGUGAAAGUGUUUCGAGAGAGGGAAAAGAAAAC
This 391-nucleotide unclassified non-coding RNA is filed under the name Hevea brasiliensis (rubber tree). Lineage: Eukaryota; Viridiplantae; Streptophyta; Magnoliopsida; Malpighiales; Euphorbiaceae. The record is from RNAcentral.